GACGAACGCUGGCGGCGCGCCUAACACAUGCAAGUCGAACGAGCGAGAGAGAGCUUGCUUUCUUGAGCGAGUGGCGAACGGGUGAGUAACGCGUGAGGAACCUGCCUCAAAGAGGGGGACAACAGUUGGAAACGACUGCUAAUACCGCAUAAGCCCACAGGUCGGCAUCGACCAGAGGGAAAAGGAGCAAUCCGCUUUGAGAUGGCCUCGCGUCCGAUUAGCUAGUUGGUGAGGUAAUGGCCCACCAAGGCAACGAUCGGUAGCCGGACUGAGAGGUUGAACGGCCACAUUGGGACUGAGACACGGCCCAGACUCCUACGGGAGGCAGCAGUGGGGAAUAUUGCACAAUGGGGGAAACCCUGAUGCAGCGACGCCGCGUGGAGGAAGAAGGUCUUCGGAUUGUAAACUCCUGUUGUUGAGGAAGAUAAUGACGGUACUCAACAAGGAAGUGACGGCUAACUACGUGCCAGCAGCCGCGGUAAAACGUAGGUCACAAGCGUUGUCCGGAAUUACUGGGUGUAAAGGGAGCGCAGGCGGGAAGACAAGUUGGAAGUGAAAUCUAUGGGCUCAACCCAUAAACUGCUUUCAAAACUGUUUUUCUUGAGUAGUGCAGAGGUAGGCGGAAUUCCCGGUGUAGCGGUGGAAUGCGUAGAUAUCGGGAGGAACACCAGUGGCGAAGGCGGCCUACUGGGCACCAACUGACGCUGAGGCUCGAAAGUGUGGGUAGCAAACAGGAUUAGAUACCCUGGUAGUCCACACCGUAAACGAUGAUUACUAGGUGUUGGAGGAUUGACCCCCUUCAGUGCCGCAGUUAACACAAUAAGUAAUCCACCUGGGGAGUACGACCGCAAGGUUGAAACUCAAAGGAAUUGACGGGGGCCCGCACAAGCAGUGGAGUAUGUGGUUUAAUUCGACGCAACGCGAAGAACCUUACCAAGUCUUGACAUCCUGCGACGCACAUAGAAAUAUGUGUUUCCUUCGGGACGCAGAGACAGGUGGUGCAUGGUUGUCGUCAGCUCGUGUCGUGAGAUGUUGGGUUAAGUCCCGCAACGAGCGCAACCCUUACUGUCAGUUACUACGCAAGAGGACUCUGGCAGGACUGCCGUUGACAAAACGGAGGAAGGUGGGGAUGACGUCAAAUCAUCAUGCCCUUUAUGACUUGGGCUACACACGUACUACAAUGGCGUUAAACAAAGAGAAGCAAGACCGCGAGGUGGAGCAAAACUCAGAAACGACGUCCCAGUUCGGACUGCAGGCUGCAACUCGCCUGCACGAAGUCGGAAUUGCUAGUAAUCGUGGAUCAGCAUGCCACGGUGAAUACGUUCCCGGGCCUUGCACA
This 1339-nucleotide ribosomal RNA is filed under the name uncultured bacterium. Its description in RNAcentral is "bacterial SSU rRNA". It matches the Rfam family "Bacterial small subunit ribosomal RNA", at positions 28 to 1387 of the family's 1533-position model. The record is from RNAcentral.